Long non-coding RNA from Mercurialis annua (annual mercury), 599 nucleotides. RefSeq lists it as uncharacterized. The record is from RefSeq and is a predicted model, not a curated record. Lineage: Eukaryota; Viridiplantae; Streptophyta; Magnoliopsida; Malpighiales; Euphorbiaceae. The transcript has 2 exons.
UCAAACCGAACAGAAAAGCGGUUUAUAUGGUUUGGUUUGGUUUAGAAUAUAUAAAAAUUACGGUUUUCGGUUUCGGUUUGGUUUUAAGGCUCGGUCACCGAACCGAACCGAAAAAACCGAAAUAAUAAAGAAGGGUUAUCUUGGUCAUUUAAGUAAGAUAGUAUAUAUACUCUUUUUAAGCAAAAACCCUAAUGUCAUUAUCUGCCGCUCACUCAAACUCUCACCCUCACCCAAACUCUUUCUUUUUCCCCCUUUUUCUCUUAUUUUCUUUUCUCUUUUCCAUCGAUCUUCUUAAUUAUUAACCCAAAUUAAGCCUAAAACCCUAACACUGAGAUGGGUUUUGUUUUGUUUCUCAAUCUUAUCAUCUUCCCUUAUUUCCCUAGCCGAUUCUUAAUGCUAAUUCACAGAGAUGUAACCGAUGCUAUAGUGAUUCCUUUGAAGAAAAAUAUGAGAUUAACAAGGACCAUCAUCUGCAUCUGGAGCAAAGUAGAAAUGGAAAUUAAUCAAGCUAAUUUUAUUUCUUAAUUUUAAGAUGUAAAUUAGAAAAUGUUAAACAAUAUCAAAAUAUCAGUUUAUGUAAUAAAGUAAUUUUUCAUUUA